GAUGAACGCUAGCGGGAGGCUUAACACAUGCAAGUCGAGGGGCAGCAUAGGGUAGCAAUACUCUGAUGGCGACCGGCAAACGGGUGAGUAACGCGUAUGCAACCUACCCUGUACAGGGGGAUAACCCGGAGAAAUUCGGACUAAUAUCCCGUAAUAAUAUCCGGAGGCAUCUUUGGAUAUUUAAAGUUUCGACGGUACGGGAUGGGCAUGCGUAACAUUAGCUGGUUGGUAAGGUAACGGCUUACCAAGGCUAUGAUGUUUAGGGGUCCUGAGAGGGUGGUCCCCCACACUGGUACUGAGACACGGACCAGACUCCUACGGGAGGCAGCAGUGAGGAAUAUUGGUCAAUGGGCGCAAGCCUGAACCAGCCAUCCCGCGUGCAGGAAGACGGCCCUAUGGGUUGUAAACUGCUUUUCCAGGGAGAGAAACUUACGCACGUGUUGCGUGACUGACGGUACCCUGGGAAUAAGCAUCGGCUAACUCCGUGCCAGCAGCCGACGGUAAAAGUGUGUGUA
Molecule: ribosomal RNA, 515 nt
Filed under: uncultured bacterium
Lineage: Bacteria
Description: bacterial SSU rRNA
Rfam family: Bacterial small subunit ribosomal RNA
Source: RNAcentral